ACUCCUGCGGGAGGCAGCAGUGGGGAAUUUUGGACACUGGGCGAAAGCCUGAUCCAGCAAUGCCGCGUGUGUGAAGAAGGCCUUCGGGUUGUAAAGCACUUUUGUCCGGAAAGAAAUCCUUGGCUCUAAUACAGUCGGGGGAUGACGGUACCGGAAGAAUAAGCACCGGCUAACUACGUGCCAGCAGCCGCGGUAAUACGUAGGGUGCGAGCGUUAAUCGGAAUUACUGGGCGUAAAGCGUGCGCAGGCGGUUUGCUAAGACCGAUGUGAAAUCCCCGGGCUCAACCUGGGAACUGCAUUGGUGACUGGCAGGCUAGAGUAUGGCAGAGGGGGGUAGAAUUCCACGUGUAGCAGUGAAAUGCGUAGAGAUGUGGAGGAAUACCGAUGGCGAAGGCAGCCCCCUGGGCCAAUACUGACGCUCAUGCACGAAAGCGUGGGGAGCAAACAGGAUUAGAUACCCCUGUAGUCCCAUGAU
Molecule: ribosomal RNA, 475 nt
Filed under: uncultured organism
Description: partial 16S ribosomal RNA
Rfam family: Bacterial small subunit ribosomal RNA
Source: RNAcentral